RNAcentral lists this ribosomal RNA (460 nucleotides) under uncultured bacterium. RNAcentral's name for it is "partial 16S ribosomal RNA". It matches the Rfam family "Bacterial small subunit ribosomal RNA", at positions 338 to 795 of the family's 1533-position model. The record is from RNAcentral.
CCUACGGGUGGCAGCAGUGAGGAAUAUUGGUCAAUGGACGAGAGUCUGAACCAGCCAAGUAGCGUGAAGGAUGACUGCCCUAUGGAUUGUAAACUUCUUUUAUAAAGGAAUAAAACGAGGCACGUGUGCCUUUUUGCAUGUACUUUAUGAAUAAGGAUCGGCUAACUCCGUGCCAGCAGCCGCGGUAAUACGGAGGAUCCGAGCGUUAUCCGGAUUUAUUGGGUUUAAAGGGAGCGUAGAUGGGUUGUUAAGUCAGUUGUGAAAGUUUGCGGCUCAACCGUAAAAUUGCAAUUGAUACUGGCAGUCUAGAGUACAGUUGAGGUAGGCGGAAUUCGUGGUGUAGCGGUGAAAUGCUUAGAUAUCACGAAGAACCCCGAUUGCGAAGGCAGCUUACUAAACUGUGACUGACAUUGAUGCUCGAAAGUGUGGGUAUCAAACAGGAUUAGAUACCCUAGUAGUC